GGGCAAGAGGUUCGACUCGAGCGAAGCGAGAGAACGUUGCGUCAGCAACGGCCCGCAGGGCGAGCCACGCAGUGGCGAGUCAUCCUCUAUCACCGACCA
RNAcentral lists this small RNA (99 nucleotides) under Salmonella enterica. RNAcentral describes it as "partial RtT sRNA". It matches the Rfam family "RtT RNA", at positions 34 to 130 of the family's 130-position model. Rfam says of the family: This family represents a bacterial cis-regulatory element known as RtT RNA. The exact function of RtT is unknown although it is thought that it may be involved in changing the cellular response in relation to amino acid starvation. RNAcentral also lists the same sequence under 1 other name. The record is from RNAcentral. Lineage: Bacteria; Pseudomonadati; Pseudomonadota; Gammaproteobacteria; Enterobacterales; Enterobacteriaceae.